GAAAUGCGAUAAGUAAUGUGAAUUGCAGAAUUCAGUGAAUCAUCGAAUCUUUGAACGCACAUUGCGCCCAUUAGUAUUCUAGUGGGCAUGCCUGUUCGAGCGUCAUUUAAACCCUCAAGCCUUGCUUGGUGUUGGGGAUCAGCCUUUAUCGGCUGGCCCUGAAAAAUAGUGGCGGUCUCGCUGUAGCUUCCUCUGCGUAGUAGCACAACCUCGCUCUGGAAAGCAGCGCGGCCUAGCCUUUAAACCCCCUAUUUUAUAAGGUUGACCUCGGAUCAGGUAGGAAUACCCGCUGAACUUAA
This 299-nucleotide unclassified non-coding RNA is filed under the name uncultured Phialemoniopsis. Its description in RNAcentral is "sequence contains ITS1". The stretch from base 1 to 105 matches the Rfam family "5.8S ribosomal RNA", at positions 50 to 154 of the family's 154-position model. Lineage: Eukaryota; Fungi; Ascomycota; Sordariomycetes; Xylariales. The record is from RNAcentral.